RNAcentral lists this long non-coding RNA (933 nucleotides) under Bos indicus x Bos taurus (hybrid cattle). RNAcentral's name for it is "lncRNA (ENSBIXG00005006768.1)". Lineage: Eukaryota; Metazoa; Chordata; Mammalia; Artiodactyla; Bovidae. The record is from RNAcentral.
AUGCAUUGCAGUUCACAGCACCUGGUCACCUUUCAGACAAACCACCUUACUUACUUCCUAUUCUACAGCUGCGGAUUUCCUAUGCAUAGAAUCCUCCUCUGGGACUCACCAUACUGUGUGUGCAGGCUCCACUGGGCCCUCCAUGUUGCCUUGAGAGAUCUGAGGACUGGUGCGACAAUACUGAUACACCUGUUUCUCCUGCUGCAACUGGUAAAGUCCUUUGUCUCUGACUCAAGAGUCCCACGUCAGCAUCCAUGGAACUGCGACAGGCUUACUUAUCAACUUGUAUGGUUUUUUGUUGGAAGUUAUCCUGCUUCUGCGAUGUCAAAUUUAUUGAAAUUUGAAGCUGAAAGUAUGAUUCUGAGACAAGGACACGUACCCUUGAAAUACUACUUGGUUCGUGCUGGACAUUUAAAGGUCAUGUCAAGUAAUAUAAGCAUGAACAAAAAUACCAACUCUGAAAUUUUAAGUGCGUUUGGAGAAGGCAACUUCAUAGGGGAUUUUUAUGGUAUUCUUGUACAGAGAGUACAACAAUAUCAAGAAACAUGCAACUUCCUAAGGGAAAUUACCAUAAAUUAAUUACUAUGGUUUUUCCAGUGGUCAUGUAUGGAUGUGAGAGUUGGACUGUGAAGAAAGCUGAGUGCCAAAGAAUUGAUGCUUUUGAACUGUGGUGUUGGAGAAGACUCUUGAGAGUCCCUUGGACUGCAAGGAGAUCCAACCAGUCCAUUCUAAAGGAGAUCAGUCUUGGGUGUUCAUUGGAAGGACUGAUGCUAAAGCUCAAACUCCAGUACUUUGGCCACCUCAUGUGAAGAGUUGACUCAUUGGAAAAGACCCUGAUGCUGGGAGGGAUUGGGGGCAGGAGGAGAAGGGAACGACAGAGGAUGAGAAGGCUGGAUGGCAUCACCGACUCGAUGGAUGUGAGUUUGAGUAAAC